This 460-nucleotide ribosomal RNA is filed under the name uncultured bacterium. RNAcentral's name for it is "partial 16S ribosomal RNA". It matches the Rfam family "Bacterial small subunit ribosomal RNA", at positions 338 to 795 of the family's 1533-position model. The record is from RNAcentral.
CCUACGGGAGACAGCAGUGAGGAAUAUUGGUCAAUGGGCGCGAGCCUGAACCAGCCAAGUCGCGUGAGGGAGGACGGCCCUACGGGUUGUAAACCUCUUUUGCCGGGGAGCAACGGGCGUCACGUGUGGCGCCACUGAGAGUACCCGGAGAAAAAGCAUCGGCUAACUCCGUGCCAGCAGCCGCGGUAAUACGGAGGAUGCGAGCGUUAUCCGGAUUCAUUGGGUUUAAAGGGUGCGCAGGCGGGCCUUUAAGCCGGCGGUGAAAUCGCGGGGCUCAACCCCGCCGAGCCGUCGGAACUGGGGGCCUUGAGUGCGGCGGAGGCAUGCGGAAUGCGCGGUGUAGCGGUGAAAUGCAUAGAUAUCGCGCAGAACCCCGAUUGCGAAGGCAGCGUGCCGUGCCGCCACUGACGCUGAGGCACGAAAGCGCGGGGAUCGAACAGGAUUAGAUACCCUGGUAGUC